UAGGAAACUUGCUUGCCAUAUUUGCCAC
RNAcentral lists this non-coding RNA (28 nucleotides) under Bombyx mori (domestic silkworm). Lineage: Eukaryota; Metazoa; Arthropoda; Insecta; Lepidoptera; Bombycidae. The record is from RNAcentral.